This 465-nucleotide ribosomal RNA is filed under the name uncultured Desulfobulbus sp. RNAcentral's name for it is "bacterial SSU rRNA". It matches the Rfam family "Bacterial small subunit ribosomal RNA", at positions 924 to 1382 of the family's 1533-position model. The record is from RNAcentral. Lineage: Bacteria; Pseudomonadati; Thermodesulfobacteriota; Desulfobulbia; Desulfobulbales; Desulfobulbaceae.
CACAAGCGGUGGAGUAUGUGGUUUAAUUCGAUGCAACGCGAAGAACCUUACCUGGUCUUGACAUCCCGGAGACCCUUAGGAAACUAGGGGGUGGCUUCCAUCUGGAAGAAUCUGGAGACAGGUGCUGCAUGGCUGUCGUCAGCUCGUGUCGUGAGAUGUUGGGUUAAGUCCCGCAACGAGCGCAACCCUUGCCUUUAGCUGCCAGCAGUUCGGCUGGGCACUCUAAAGGGACUGCCGGUGUUAAACCGGAGGAAGGUGGGGAUGACGUCAAGUCCUCAUGGCCUUUAUGACCAGGGCUACACACGUACUACAAUGGCCGAUACAAAGGGCAGCGACACUGCGAGGUGAAGCCAAUCCCGUAAAAUCGGUCUCAGUCCGGAUUGGAGUCUGCAACUCGACUCCAUGAAGUUGGAAUCGCUAGUAAUCGUGGAUCAGCAUGCCACGGUGAAUACGUUCCCGGGCCUU